AGGACGAACGCUGGCGGUGUGCUUCACACAUGCAAGUCGAACGGGGUAGCAAUACCCAGUGGCGGACGGGUGAGUAACGCGUAGAAAUCUGCCUUGAGAUGGGGGAUAACAGUCCGAAAGGAUUGCUAAUACCGCAUAUGUAUACAUUCGGACACGGGUGUAUAUGAAAGGAGUAAUCCGUCUUAAGAUGAGUCUGCGUCCGAUUAGCUAGUUGGUAGGGUAAAGGCCUACCAAGGCGACGAUCGGUAGCUGGUCUGAGAGGAUGAUCAGCCACAAUGGGACUGAGACACGGCCCAUACUCCUACGGGAGGCAGCAGUGGGGAAUUUUGUGCAAUGGGGGAAACCCUGACACAGCGACACCGCGUGAACGAAGAAGCCCUUUGGGGUGUAAAGUUCUGUCGGCUGGAACGAAAAAAAUGACGGUACCAGCAAAGGAGCAUCGGCUAACUACGUGCCAGCAGCCGC
RNAcentral lists this ribosomal RNA (465 nucleotides) under uncultured bacterium. Its description in RNAcentral is "SSU rRNA". It matches the Rfam family "Bacterial small subunit ribosomal RNA", at positions 26 to 518 of the family's 1533-position model. The record is from RNAcentral.